AAUAGAUACCCGGGUAGUCCAUGCCGUAAACGAUGAGUACUAGCUGUCUGGGGUAUCGACUCCCUGGGUAGCGAAGCAAACGCGAUAAGUACUCCGCCUGGGGACUACGGCCGCAAGGCUAAAACUCAAAGGAAUUGACGGGGCCCGCACAAGCAGCGGAGCGUGCGGUUUAAUUCGAAGCUACGCGAAGAACCUUACCAGGGCUUGACAUGUCCCUGACCGCCGAUGAAAGUCGGUUUCCCUUCGGGGCAGGGUCACAGAUGCUGCAUGGCUGUCGUCAGCUCGUGCCGUGAGGUGUUGGGUUAAGUCCCGCAACGAGCGCAACCCUCGUCGUGUGUUGAAUUUUUCACACGAGACUGCCCGGAGCAACCGGGAGAAGGCGGGGAUGACGUCAAGUCAGCAUGGCUCUUACGUCCUGGGCUACUCGCACGCUACAAUGGGCAGUACAGACCGUUGCGAUAUCGCGAGAUGGAGCUAAUCGGCAAAGCUGUCCUCAGUACGGAUUGCAGG
Molecule: ribosomal RNA, 510 nt
Filed under: uncultured bacterium
Lineage: Bacteria
Description: bacterial SSU rRNA
Rfam family: Bacterial small subunit ribosomal RNA
Source: RNAcentral